CUCCCCCAAUGGGACCCACCUUGUCGUGGUGGGGGAGCUUGCCGGCUCAGGUAUUCAAUAUCUGAGUCUCACUAAGAGGUCC
This 82-nucleotide non-coding RNA is filed under the name Acyrthosiphon pisum (pea aphid). Lineage: Eukaryota; Metazoa; Arthropoda; Insecta; Hemiptera; Aphididae. The record is from RNAcentral.